RNAcentral lists this long non-coding RNA (2205 nucleotides) under Homo sapiens (human). RNAcentral describes it as "HSALNT0355362". The record is from RNAcentral. Lineage: Eukaryota; Metazoa; Chordata; Mammalia; Primates; Hominidae.
ACUACAAGCGUCCCCCAGCAAAGCUGCACCGCCAUUUCCUGUGCUUGGGAACUGAAGGCAAGACAGAGGCUCACUAGUGGCACGAUCUUGGCUGAUUGCAUCUUCCACCUCCUGGGUUCAAGAGAUUCUUGUGCCUUAGCUUCCUGAGUAGCUAAGAUUACAGGUGUGCACCACCACGCCCGGCUAAUUUUUGUAUUUUUAGUUGAGAUGAGGUUUCACCAUGUUGGCCAGGCUGGUCUCGAACUCCUGACCUCAAGUGAUCUGCCCGCCCCGGCCUCCCAAAGUGCUGGGAUUACAGGCGUGAGCUACUGUGGCCGGCCACAUUUCCCUUCUGGUGCGCGUCCUCCUGUAGCUGUGGGAUCAGGGGAGGUAGAGAUGUCUUGUAACUGACUCAAGUUUGGCUGCUUGCCGCAGGAGAAGCGAGGUGUGGUGAAAGGAAAGCAACUUUUAUUCAGAUGCUAGCAGGUGGGAGAGUGGCCAGGCUCAAGGCUCUAAGGAACCAUCUCAGCUUUUUGGACUGCGUGAAGGGCUUUAGGAAGGAGAACUCGGUGUGGGAGACAUGUGGGAGUAGGGCAGUGGUGCAGGUGUCUUGAGUAAUUGCCCAUCCGGAGGUCUAGUUGGCAUCAUCUUGACCUUGGUCUGGUGGUGGUGGACUCAUUGUUCAUAACUCCCCUAGACAGGAGGAUUCCACAGCUGGGUUCUAUGCCUGGUUUAUUUAAAAAUGAGCCCCUGGCAUUUCUAAGCAGGCACAGAAUGAGAUAAGUGAGCACUGUGGCUGGUGGGAAAGGGAGGGAAACAGGUUUAAAGUAUGUUUCAAGGCUGCAUUCUGAGACUAGGAGGGAAAGGAAGAAAAACUUUAAAAUUCUUCUCAAGGCUGAGAUAUUUGACUACAGUCUCAUGCCCAAAAUGUUUCUAUUCUACACUGAGACCUGAUAGAUAAUUUGGCUGCAUACCUGGAGUCCAGUGUGUGCACCUGCCCCUCCCAUCCCAUACUCGCAGCCAGUGGAAAAGUCUGCAAAAGGAAGCCAGCUGGGAGUGCCCACCAGAGUCAAAGUCUGGGGCAGGCUGGUGGACUCAAGAGGAGUCUUAAAUAUUGGAAAUGUCAUCACAAACCAUCUGGGAAGCCCCCUCCUCUUAAAAAGGACAUAAAGUCAAAGUGAACAGGUGUGCUCACUCCAAGCCCGUGCCCACAACCACAGUGCCCUUCACAUUCAGAGUCAUGGCCACUAGCCACAAAAUUGUGACUUACAGUUCACAAAAUUGGGACAUAUUUACAUGUUGACUAAGUUGGGAAAUAAUUUGGAUUUUCUUUAAAAGUAGUAAAAGUAAAGAAGAAAAAGUCAAAAAGGUCUGACAUCUAAGAGGGUGAAAUUUCCUUACUUUAGAUCACAAGCAAUCAGGCUGAUCCCGCCUGAGCCCUGAGCUCCCUGGGACCCAGCAGCAGCUGUGCAUUGGCACGUGGUGCCCUGUGUCUGAUCAGCUGACUCCUCAGGCAAAACCUGCACCAUUUUCACCAGAAUUGCAGAUGUCCUCAGUGUCAUUACAAAGUUCCUAAGUCAUGACCAUUCUGUCCUGUGGAACCAGGCUGGACUAAGCUCCCAUUUCUUUAAGCCAUCCUGUCCCCUGCAGGGACUUCCAAGGUGGAGCUGAUGAGCAAUAGUUAUGAGUCAUUGGAGGAGACAUCCCAGAGGCGCCAGCUCCCCUCUGCCCUAAACUGAAAUUAAGACCUGGUGCUCUGGGUGGGGCCCCUGGAAGGGGAUGUGCAACUCAGAGGGGACCUUCUCCACCUCCACCCAGGAGACCCCAGAGGGACCAUGGCAGAGCCGGAGCCCUCUUUUUUUUUGUUCGUUUUUUAUUUUAUUAUUAUUAUACUUUAAGUUUUAGCCCUCUUUUAAAAACCAAAUGAAAAUAAGCAAAAGAAGCCAAUCGUCUCUGUGAAAUGUCCAGAAGAGGGAACUCUGUAGAGACAGAGAGGAUAUUAUUGGCUGCCGGAGGCUGGGAAUGGGAAGGUGAGGGGCCUGGGGAGGUGAUGGUUAAAAGAUUCUUCUUUGUGGUGAUGAAAUUGUCUUAAAAUGGACUGUGGUGAUAGUUGUGCAACUUGGUGAAUAUAUAAGUUAUUGAAUUGUACACUUUAAAUGGGUGAAUUGUAUGGUGUGUGAAACAUAUCUCAAUAAAGCUGUUAUUUGAAAAAUAAAUAAGUAAAUA